CUGGCUCAGAACGAACGCUGGCGGCAGGCUUAAUACAUGCAAGUCGAACGGCUGUAGCAAUACAGCAGUGGCAGACGGGUGAGUAACACGUGGGAACCUACCUAGGGGUACGGAAUAACUCAGGGAAACUUGUGCUAAUACCGUAUACGACCUCAGGGUGAAAGAUUUAUCGCCCCUAGAUGGGCCCGCGUUGGAUUAGCUAGUUGGUGAGGUAAAAGCUCACCAAGGCGACGAUCCAUAGCUGGUCUGAGAGGAUGAUCAGCCACACUGGGACUGAGACACGGCCCAGACUCCUACGGGAGGCGGCAGUAGGGAAUCUUGGACAAUGGGCGAAAGCCUGAUCCAGCCAUGCCGCGUGUGUGAUGAAGGCCUUAGGGUUGUAAAGCACUUUCGCCAGGGAAGAUAAUGACGGUACCUGGAUAAGAAGCCCCGGCUAACUUCGUGCCAGCAGCCGCGGUAAUACGAAGGGGGCUAGCGUUGUUCGAAAUUACUGGGCGUAAAGCGCACGUAGGCGGUUUUCCAAGUUGGAGGUGAAAUCCCCGGGCUUAACCUGGGAACUGC
This 561-nucleotide ribosomal RNA is filed under the name uncultured Alphaproteobacteria bacterium. Its description in RNAcentral is "bacterial SSU rRNA". It matches the Rfam family "Bacterial small subunit ribosomal RNA", at positions 19 to 624 of the family's 1533-position model. Lineage: Bacteria; Pseudomonadati; Pseudomonadota; Alphaproteobacteria. The record is from RNAcentral.